Molecule: long non-coding RNA, 206 nt
Filed under: Carica papaya (papaya)
Lineage: Eukaryota; Viridiplantae; Streptophyta; Magnoliopsida; Brassicales; Caricaceae
Description: long non-coding RNA (CPAP_LNC006457)
Source: RNAcentral
ACAAUUCAAGCCCUUAAGCCUUAAUGUUGUUGGCUUUGCCCUUUGAUGAUCUUGAUUUUAUCAUCAUUUUUAUCAUUUUGUCCAAUUAUUGGACGCUGAGAUUGCUCAUCAUCUCAUUAAUUACUACUAUAUAUAUAUGUCUUUGUUUAAUGCACUUUGUGCAUCUCUCUCUUUUCUCCAAGUCCUGUUGUAGAACUUGCUAAAUA